Molecule: ribosomal RNA, 429 nt
Filed under: Pseudomonadota bacterium
Lineage: Bacteria; Pseudomonadati; Pseudomonadota
Description: Proteobacteria bacterium partial 16S ribosomal RNA
Rfam family: Bacterial small subunit ribosomal RNA
Source: RNAcentral
UGGGGAAUAUUGGACAAUGGGCGAAAGCCUGAUCCAGCCAUGCCGCGUGUGUGAAGAAGGUCUUCGGAUUGUAAAGCACUUUAAGUUGGGAGGAAGGGCAGUAAGCGAAUACCUUGCUGUUUUGACGUUACCGACAGAAUAAGCACCGGCUAACUCUGUGCCAGCAGCCGCGGUAAUACAGAGGGUGCAAGCGUUAAUCGGAAUUACUGGGCGUAAAGCGCGCGUAGGUGGUUCGUUAAGUUGAUUGUGAAAGCCCCGGGCUCAACCUGGGAACUGCAUCCAAAACUGGCGAGCUAGAGUAGGGCAGAGGGUGGUGGAAUUUCCUGUGUAGCGGAGAAAUGCGUAGAUAUAGGAAGGAACACCAGUGGCGAAGGCGACCACCUGGGCUCAUACUGACACUGAGGUGCGAAAGCGUGGGGAGCAAACAGG